GUCCUCGAGCACAAGACUGCCCGGAAAUUCGGAACCGCCCAAAUCUACUUAGAGCCCGAAGAAUUUUUGUGGUUCCAGACCUGGCUCAGGCUGAGAGACAGAGCCGUUGCCAGGAAUGGCUAUUUAUUUUCGUCUCUUGGCCGUGGGGAGGCGAAAGACAUGGCCCGUUAUUUCAGCAAAGCCUGGAAAGAGAUGGGACUCUAGGGGUACCCUACCAUCAUGGACAUACGAACGGCUGUGUCCACCUACAAUUUUCAGGAGAACAACCCGGAGGUGCGGGAGAACCUCUCUAAAUUCAUGUGCCACAACGUGGGCACCCAGGAGAGGUUCUAUGCCUUACACAAGAACGUCUCCCGGGCAAGAGAGAUCCGGCAGCUUUUUGUCUGCCUCUCGCUAAGAGAGGGGGCUCAUCAAAAGACGAGCCGGCUGCUCCCGCACAUUUACCCGCUGAACCACAGGCUCCUGCUAGUCCCGGUCCUGCUCCUGCCAGUCCCGGUCCUGCUCCUCCCACUGCCGCCUCCGGGUCUCGAGCGGCGGAGGAGAGAAGGCGCAGUGAGUACUGAUUCCACGACCCCGGAAAGCGGCGAGGUCCAGGCGUUGGGUCGCUGUAAAGCUCGCGGCCGGAGCCGCGAGCCACCUUCGCCCCGAGCCCUUCCUGGCCGAUCCAGAGUCGGUCGCGGCGCACCACCGGCGGAGGAAAUGCGCCCGGCGGGGGCCAGCCAACCGGCGGGGAGUUCCCACGGAGGGGAUCCUCCCGCGCCGAGCGGCCGUCCCUGACCUGCCGAGUUGAAUCCCCCGGGCGGACUGCGCGGACCCCACCCGUUUACCUCUUAACGGUUUCACGCCCUCUUGAACUCUCUCUUCAAAGUUCUUUUCAACUUUCCCUUAAGGUACUUGUCGACUAUCGG
This 908-nucleotide long non-coding RNA is filed under the name Nothobranchius furzeri (turquoise killifish). RNAcentral describes it as "lncRNA (ENSNFUG00015009012.1)". Lineage: Eukaryota; Metazoa; Chordata; Actinopteri; Cyprinodontiformes; Nothobranchiidae. The record is from RNAcentral.